RNAcentral lists this ribosomal RNA (500 nucleotides) under uncultured bacterium. Its description in RNAcentral is "partial 16S ribosomal RNA". It matches the Rfam family "Bacterial small subunit ribosomal RNA", at positions 30 to 523 of the family's 1533-position model. The record is from RNAcentral.
AUUGAACGCUGGCGGAAUGCUUUACACAUGCAAGUCGAACGGCAGCACGGACUUCGGUCUGGUGGCGAGUGGCGAACGGGUGAGUAAUGUAUCGGAACGUGCCCAGUCGUGGGGGAUAACGUAGUGAAAAUUACGCUAAUACCGCAUACGAUCUAUGGAUGAAAGCGGGGGAUCGCAAGACCUCGCGCGAUUGGAGCGGCCGAUAUCAGAUUAGGUAGUCGGUGGGGUAAAGGCCCACCAAGCCAACGAUCUGUAGCUGGUCUGAGAGGACGACCAGCCACACUGGAACUGAGACACGGUCCAGACUCCUACGGGAGGCAGCAGUGGGGAAUUUUGGACAAUGGGCGAAAGCCUGAUCCAGCCAUUCCGCGUGCAGGAUGAAGGCCCUCGGGUUGUGAACUGCUUUUGUAUAGAACGAAAAGGUUUCUACUAAUACUAGGAGCUCAUGACGGUACUGUAAGAAUAAGCACCGGCUAACUACGUGCCAGCCGCCGCCGUAA